Long non-coding RNA from Mytilus trossulus (common blue mussel), 299 nucleotides. RefSeq lists it as uncharacterized. The transcript is spliced from 3 exons. Lineage: Eukaryota; Metazoa; Mollusca; Bivalvia; Mytilida; Mytilidae. The record is from RefSeq and is a predicted model, not a curated record.
ACUUGUGAAUUCGGAUGGACUUUACGAGGCACACGCUGUUAUUUUUUUAGUGGUGGGACUCAACUCGGUUGGAAUGCAGCUCAGUCGUCUUGUCAAGAGAUGGGUGGUCGUCUGGCAGAAUUGGAAACCAUUGAAGAAAUAAAUGCUGUGAAGAAUGUUGCAUCAGUCCAAAAUAGAAGAUUUUGGAUUGGUGGACAGCGAUUUGGAGAAGGACAAUUCGAAUUCCAGUGGGCAUCAACCAACCAGGCAAUAACAGUUUCGGAUUGGGCAUCACCAACUCAACCAAACAAUCGAAGGGG